CGGAACGGGUGAGUAACGCGUGAGGAACCUGCCUCAAAGAGGGGGGAAACAGUUGGAAACGACUGCUAAUACCGCAUAAGCCCACAGGUCGGCAUCGACCAGAGGGAAAAAGAGCAAUCCGCUUUGAGAUGGCCUCGCGUCCGAUUAGCUAGUUGGUGAGGUAAUAGCCCACCAAGGCGACGAUCGGUAGCCGGACUGAGAGGUUGAACGGCCACAUUGGGACUGAGACACGGCCCAG
Molecule: ribosomal RNA, 238 nt
Filed under: uncultured bacterium
Lineage: Bacteria
Description: partial 16S ribosomal RNA
Rfam family: Bacterial small subunit ribosomal RNA
Source: RNAcentral